UUAUCUUUUUGUCUCAGAUAGCUUUCUCAUUUGCACCUUCAAAGGACACUUCUUCUUUUACUACACACUAGUCGAGUGGCGGCGGUCUGAAACAGUAGCAUUAGCCCUGCUUUGCUGUCAAAAGAUGAAAAACAGACUGUGCAGCUAUCGCUCCUCUGGAGUUGCUAAUAAAUAGCCUCAGAGUGUGGUUGCAGAAGAAUACGUGCAUGGCAAGAAGUCAGAAUAUGAAAAGAAAACGUUUCUGAAGUUUGGAAGUUGCCUAAUCGCACGUCUUCCCAUCUGCUCCGCAUGUGCCGAAGCCCCUCAGCCUGAAGCUCUGAAGGGUAAGGACUCCUCCGCUUUCAUGUCUUCACGGAAAAGGGGCCAUUUCAUCUGCAUAUAGCAGCGACUCUGGAUUUUAGGCAGACAGCAGUUCCUGAGGGAAAGGAGCUAUCUACUCCCAUUUAUUUGUAGAGUGGAAGUCAAAUAUGGUCGCAGAGACGGUUUAAUGUACGUAGAUUUUCUGUACAGAAAAGRCUUGCCCUGCCUGAAAGAAGUGCAGAACAGACUGAGAAGUGGAGCGAAAAGCACUUCUGCUCUUUCAUAUCAGGGAGCUUUUCCUCUGCCCCGGUCCUUCCGCGGUGGUGGGAAGACGCUUUGAUGGGAAGCGGUGAAAGCGCGUGCCUGGCGGAGAGGCAGCGUAAAGACUUUCGCAAUAGGGGACCGCAGUGAAGCCGAGCCAGCUCCAGCGAGAUCUCCCCAGCCCAACCGCUGAAUGAGAUUCACGUCAUUAGAGCUGGAUUAAGGUGCCUCCGGAGAGGACUAGGCUGUGCAAAUGCACUGGAAGACAGGCGGCCUGAUUGCACCUAGACUGAUAUUAUCUCUUUCCCCGGCACCCAACCGUGACCGUGGCUUAGCAGAGGAAGGAGSAGAGCGGGGAAGCAGUACCCGAGAGAUAAUCUCGGGGUGGCGACAAAGACAGAAGGCAGCCAGGCCUCAUUUUGCAGAGGAAAUUCAUCCUCUUGUGCUGCAGGUUACGACACCUGCGUCGUGGGCUGAACCACGAGAAGUUCCCGCGCGACGUUCAGCCGAAUUUGUCUGAGUUUUCAUUGCAAAUGAACACGGGCUCGUGGCCAGACUGUGC
This 1123-nucleotide long non-coding RNA is filed under the name Dromaius novaehollandiae (emu). RNAcentral's name for it is "lncRNA (ENSDNVG00000001592.1)". The record is from RNAcentral. Lineage: Eukaryota; Metazoa; Chordata; Aves; Casuariiformes; Dromaiidae.